This 877-nucleotide ribosomal RNA is filed under the name uncultured eukaryote. Its description in RNAcentral is "SSU rRNA". It matches the Rfam family "Eukaryotic small subunit ribosomal RNA", at positions 569 to 1469 of the family's 1831-position model. The record is from RNAcentral.
AGCAGCCGCGGUAAUUCCAGCUCCAAUAGCGUAUAUUAAAGUUGUUGUGGUUAAAAAGCUCGUAGUUGGAUCUCAACAGCCUUGAAGCGGUUAACUUUGUAGUUUUACUGCUUUAUAGGCUGUGCUUUUGCUGGAGGUUUAGGGGUGCUCUUGAUCGAGUGUCUCUGGAUGCCAGCAGGUUUACUUUGAAAAAAUUAGAGUGCUCAAAGCAGGCUAAAAUGCCUGAAUAUUCGUGCAUGGAAUAAUAGAAUAGGAUGUCGAUCCUAUUUUGUUGGUUUUCGGGACUCGACAUAAUGAUAAAUAGGGACAGUCGGGGGCAUUUGUAUUCAAACGACAGAGGUGAAAUUCUUGGACCGUUUGAAGACAAACUACUGCGAAAGCAUUUGCCAAGAAUGUUUUCAUUAAUCAAGAACGAAAGUUAGAGGUUCGAAGGCGAUUAGAUACCGCCCUAGUUCUAACCAUAAACGAUGCCAGCUAGCGAUCUGCCUGCGUUUUUACUGUAGACUGGGCAGGAAGCUUCCGGGAAACCAAAGCAUUUGGGUUCCAGGGGAAGUAUGGUUGCAAAGCUGAAACUUAAAGGAAUUGACGGAAGGGCACCACCAGGAGUGGAGCCUGUGGCUUAAUUUGACUCAACACGGGAAAUCUCACCAGGCCCGGACACUGGAAGGAUUGACAGAUUGACAGCUCUUUCUUGAUUCGGUGGGUGGUGGUGCAUGGCCGUUCUUAGUUGGUGGAGUGAUUUGUCUGGUUAAUUCCGAUAACGAACGAGACUCUGUCCUGCUAAAUAGUUUCUACUUCUCUUUUGAGUAGAAAUUUCUUCUUAGAGGGACUGGUGACUCUUAGUCACACGAGGUUGAGCAAUAACAGGUCUGUGAUG